UCGCCCUUAGAGUUUGAUCCUGGCUCAGGAUGAACGCUGGCGGCGUGCCUAACACAUGCAAGUCGAACGGAACUGUUUUGAAAGAUUUCUUCGGAAUGAAUUUGAUUUAGUUUAGUGGCGGACGGGUGAGUAACGCGUGAGUAACCUGCCUUCAAGAGGGGGAUAACAUUCUGAAAAGAAUGCUAAUACCGCAUGAUAUAUCGGAAUCACAUGAUUUUGAUAUCAAAGAUUUUAUCGCUUGAAGAUGGACUCGCGUCCGAUUAGUUAGUUGGUGAGGUAACGGCUCACCAAGACCGCGAUCGGUAGCCGGACUGAGAGGUUGAACGGCCACAUUGGGACUGAGACACGGCCCAGACUCCUACGGGAGGCAGCAGUGGGGGAUAUUGCGCAAUGGGGGCAACCCUGACGCAGCAACGCCGCGUGAAGGAUGAAGGUUUUCGGAUUGUAAACUUCUUUUAUUAAGGACGAAAAAUGACGGUACUUAAUGAAUAAGCUCCGGCUAACUACGUGCCAGCAGCCGCGGUAAUACGUAGGGAGCAAGCGUUGUCCGGAUUUACUGGGUGUAAAGGGUGCGUAGGCGGCUUUGCAAGUCAGAUGUGAAAUCUAUGGGCUCAACCCAUAAACUGCAUUUGAAACUGUAGAGCUUGAGUGAAGUAGAGGCAGGCGGAAUUCCCCGUGUAGCGGUGAAAUGCGUAGAGAUGGGGAGGAACACCAGUGGCGAAGGCGGCCUGCUGGGCUUUAACUGACGCUGAGGCACGAAAGCGUGGGUAGCAAACAGGAUUAGAUACCCUGGUAGUCCACGCUGUAAACGAUGAUUACUAGGUGUGGGGGGUCUGACCCCUUCCGUGCCGGAGUUAACACAAUAAGUAAUCCACCUGGGGAGUACGGCCGCAAGGUUGAAACUCAAAUGAAUUGACGGAA
Molecule: ribosomal RNA, 921 nt
Filed under: uncultured bacterium
Lineage: Bacteria
Description: bacterial SSU rRNA
Rfam family: Bacterial small subunit ribosomal RNA
Source: RNAcentral